This 439-nucleotide ribosomal RNA is filed under the name uncultured bacterium. Its description in RNAcentral is "partial 16S ribosomal RNA". It matches the Rfam family "Bacterial small subunit ribosomal RNA", at positions 338 to 795 of the family's 1533-position model. The record is from RNAcentral.
CCUACGGGGGGCAGCAGUGGGGGAUAUUGCACAAUGGGGGGAACCCUGAUGCAGCGACGCCGCGUGGGUGAAGGAGCGUUUCGGCGCGUAAAGCCCUAUCGGCAGGGAAGAAGAUGACGGUACCUGACCAGGAAGCCCCGGCUAACUACGUGCCAGCAGCCGCGGUACUACGUAGGGGGCAAGCGUUAUCCGGAUUUACUGGGUGUAAGGGGGCGCAGACGGCAAUGCAAGCCAGGAGUGAAAGCCCGGGGCCCAACCCCGGGACUGCUCUUGGAACUGCAUGGCUGGAGUACAGGAGGGGGAGGCGGAAUUCCUAGUGUAGCGGUGAAAUGCGUAGAUAUUAGGAGGAACACCGGUGGCGAAGGCGGCCUGCUGGACUGUGACUGACGUUGAGGCCCGAAGGCGUGGGGAGCAAACAGGAUUAGAUACCCUUGUAGUC